AUUGAACGCUGGCGGCAGGCCUAACACAUGCAAGUCGAAUGGUAACAGGAAACAGCUUGCUGUUUCGCUGACGAGUGGCGGACGGGUGAGUAAUGUCUGGGAAACUGCCUGAUGGAGGGGGAUAACUACUGGAAACGGUAGCUAAUACCGCAUAGCGUCGCAAGACCAAAGAGGGGGACCUUCGGGCCUCUUGCCAUCAGAUGUGCCCAGAUGGGAUUAGCUAGUAGGUGGGGUAACGGCUCACCUAGGCGACGAUCCCUAGCUGGUCUGAGAGGAUGACCAGCCACACUGGAACUGAGACACGGUCCAGACUCCUACGGGAGGCAGCAGUGGGGAAUAUUGCACAAUGGGCGCAAGCCUGAUGCAGCCAUGCCGCGUGUAUGAAGAAGGCCUUCGGGUUGUAAAGUACUUUCAGCGGGGAGGAAGGGAGUAAAGUUAAUACCUUUGCUCAUUGACGUUACCCGCAGAAGAAGCACCGGCUAACUCCGUG
Molecule: ribosomal RNA, 490 nt
Filed under: uncultured bacterium
Lineage: Bacteria
Description: partial 16S ribosomal RNA
Rfam family: Bacterial small subunit ribosomal RNA
Source: RNAcentral